GUAGGGAAUAUUGGGCAAUGGAGGCAACUCUGACCCAGCCAUGCCGCGUGCAGGAAGACGGUCCUCUGGAUUGUAAACUGCUUUUGAAUGGGAAGAACACUACCCUUGCGAGGGUAUUUGACGGUACUAUUAGAAUAAGCACCGGCUAACUCCGUGCCAGCAGCCGCGGUAAUACGGAGGGUGCAAGCGUUAUCCGGAUUUAUUGGGUUUAAAGGGUGCGUAGGCGGCUUUAUAAGUCGGUGGUUAAAGGUAGCAGCUUAACUGUUUUACAUGCCAUCGAUACGGUAGGGCUUGAGUGAUUUGGAGGUAGCUAGAAUUCCCUGUGUAGCGGUGAAAUGCAUAGAUACGGGGAGGAAUACCGAUUGCGAAGGCAUGUUACUACGAAUUAACUGACGCUGAGGCACGAAAGCGUGGGGAUCAAACAGGAUUAGAAACCCGGGUAGUCC
RNAcentral lists this ribosomal RNA (446 nucleotides) under uncultured bacterium. RNAcentral describes it as "bacterial SSU rRNA". It matches the Rfam family "Bacterial small subunit ribosomal RNA", at positions 354 to 796 of the family's 1533-position model. The record is from RNAcentral.